RNAcentral lists this ribosomal RNA (440 nucleotides) under uncultured bacterium. RNAcentral's name for it is "partial 16S ribosomal RNA". It matches the Rfam family "Bacterial small subunit ribosomal RNA", at positions 338 to 795 of the family's 1533-position model. The record is from RNAcentral.
CCUACGGGAGACUGCAGUGGGGGAUAUUGCACAAUGGGGGGAACCCUGAUGCAGCGACGCCGCGUGGGUGAAGAAGCGCCUCGGCGCGUAAAGCCCUGUCAGCAGGGAAGAAAAUGACGGUACCUGAAGAAGAAGCCCCGGCUAACUACGUGCCAGCAGCCGCGGUAAUACGUAGGGGGCAAGCGUUAUCCGGAUUUACUGGGUGUAAAGGGGGCGCAGACGGCGAUGCAAGCCAGGAGUGAAAGCCUGGGGCCCAACCCCGGGACUGCUCUUGGAACUGCGUGGCUGGAGUGCAGGAGGGGCAGGCGGAAUUCCUGGUGUAGCGGUGAAAUGCGUAGAUAUCAGGAGGAACACCGGUGGCGAAGGCGGCCUGCUGGACUGCAACUGACGUGGAGGCCCGAAAGCGUGGGGAGCAAACAGGAUUAGAUACCCUGGUAGUC